UGUUACAUUCCAGUUAGUUUUUGUAAAAAUUCACCUUAGAGUCCAAAGGAGCUCAGCAUAGCUGAAAGAGGUGAAUGGAAGGAGGUGACUUCCACAAAGGGCAUUUCAAAAUGUUCCCCUUCCUCUGGAACAUAAAGUUGCUUCACUCACUGUGUAUGAAUCAGCUCAUCCAGAAGAGGAAUCCAAAAGGGAAUUGUGCCGAGCAAUCAUAAUUCUAACAAAGCCCUUACGAAGGGUCUAGUCAAAGUGAAAUGUUUAUUUAAAAACAUCCUCUGUCUAGCUAUUACCUCAGUCUUUCCAGCAGGUUCUGUGACCUUACACUUGUCCUUGUUGGACUUCAGAGAGUUCAUGUUAGCCCAAGUUACCAUAGUACCCACUCUUCCAGCCCGUCCAGGUCUUCCUGCAGGGUGAGUCUUACUUCUCAAGUGCCUGUUCCCCCAUUUGGCAAACCUCACCAGGGUGCCCUUGGUCCCAUCACACCGAUCACUUGUGAGGAUAUUGAACAGCUUUGGGCCCAGUAUCGAUCCCUGCUGGACCCCACGUGUGACAGGACACCAGCCUGAAGAGGAUCUGUUUACCAGCACCUCCUGGGUGCUUCCUGCCAGCCAGUUCCCCACCCCCUGCAAAGACCACUUGUCUAGUCAAUAAUGUGUCUGUUUGUCCAGGAGGGGGCUGUGGGAAACCAUAUGGAAAUCCCUGCAGAAAUCCAGGUAAACAAUGUUCACUGUCUGCCCCACUUGGACCGAGCAGUUCCUUUGCCACAGAAGGUGAUCAGCUCUGUCAAGCACAAUUUCCCCUUGGUGAAUCCAUCCUGGCUUUUCCCCAUCACCUGCUUAAUUUUUCUUGUGGUAGCCUCAGGAGGAUUUCUUCAGUAACUCUCCCAGGAACUGAAACAUAACUUGGCGGUAAAAGCAUUUGUAACUUGGGGAAAUAUGUCAGGUUGGUAAUGCCCACAAAACCACAAAUCCAUGGGGCUUCAGUGUGGCUGAAAACCUGACUCUGUCAAAGGCAUUUACCAAACUUGUAGAUUGUUCAGUGAAAUCUAGAUUUCACUGCUGGCUGCUCACAUGCUUUCUGGCUGUGUAAAGAUGAGUUGGCAGCAGAGCAGGCUUUCCCCACACCCUGUUCAGUCACGUGUGCGUGCAUUUCCAUCUGCCUGUGUUACAAUGUGAGAUCAGUGCUUCAGCUGAGGAAACCCCUCCUUCUGUGGCUUGCAGAAUGGCUGUCUGAUGGUCCCUCACCUGGUGUUAAAGCCAUGACCUGGAGCUCAGCUGCUUCACCUAAUCAUCAAAGCACCUGUGCUCCUGUUUCAUAUCAGUUGCUCUAAGUGGGUUGGUUCACAAGGCUUCACAUAAAGCUCCUGUAGUCUGGACCCCUGCCAGCAGUAAUUUUGCUCAAUCAGGAGCGUGGCAUGCUGCAAAUGAAUGUCACAAAAUGAAAUGCAGGAUUUGCUUCUUCCAAAGUCAUUGUAGAACACAGCUGCACAGCACACCCAUCAGCCAGGCCAGGCCAGACCUUGUGACAAUGAUGUUAAUGCCAUCAGUUCUGCUCUCCUGUGAACCAAAGACAAGUUUGGGGCAGACAGGAUGGUGAGAAAUAGGUGGUGGACAUUGUGAGUGAAGAGCAUUGUAGGAGGGAGUUCAGCCCCUUUGCAUGGACCAAAGCAAGGGGAAUUUUUUUUUAGUAUUUACUGUGAUGAGCCAAAAUGGUGCCAACUGUGUAGUGGCUGAAACUUAGCUGUGUCUGAGGACCCUACACGGUGGAACUGCCCCUACAGUGACAUAAGGAGUUUAAUUGCUACAAGAUCCUUCCCCUUCUCAUUCCUCCUUUCUUCCUGAACAUUGCUUUGAAUUUUUAUCCAGUGCUGCCUUUUAAUCUAUAGCUGUCUUUUUAAUGUUCAUUUUUUCUCUUCUCCCCUUUUCAUGAAUGUUGACAUUCAUUGGAGGCCUAUUUGGCUGUCUAAAGGGAGGGCCCUAACCGCACAUUUAUUCUUAAACUUGAGCAAAACAUCCUGGAGCCAGUAGCAGUAGCCUCAUUUGCUGUGCUCUUGGCCAAGCCUGAAGUUCUCUUUAGGAGCUGACCUGAAAUGCAGCAUCACUGCUUGGAGAAGGGAAAAAUGGAUCUCUUGGUUCUCCCUUUCUUAGCUACAUAAGAUCCACGUGUUUGUCCUGUGUGUUUAGGAGCAGUGUCAGUGACUGCCAGUUGGACAUU
Passer domesticus (house sparrow) is the source of this 2211-nucleotide long non-coding RNA. RefSeq lists it as uncharacterized. The record is from RefSeq and is a predicted model, not a curated record. The transcript is spliced from 2 exons. Lineage: Eukaryota; Metazoa; Chordata; Aves; Passeriformes; Passeridae.